UAAUAAUAGUAAUAAUAAUAUAUUGCAAUAUGAUACACUUAUAAAGAAAACUACCAUUUUAGAAAACUAUAAAAAUGGUUAUAUAAAUAAAAAUAACUUCAUUCCAAACGGAGAGGCUAAUAAGCAUACAGUUUUUAGUGACACUUUUACUGGCAAGGUCCACACCAAUAGCACUACUAUAUACAAAAAAAACAAAAAUAUUAAAAAUAGCGCAUAUUAUACAAAAUUAAAUAACAAUGAUUUGUUACAAAGAAAAGAUAAACAAAAAUAUAAAUCACAAAAUAAAAUAAAUGAAAAGAGAAUAUUAGAACAAGUUUUACCAAUAAAAAAAAAUGAUAUACUCAGUAGUGAAGCUGAUAUUGAGAAUUAUGAUAAAAAGGAGUACUCCAUAUUGGGUGUUACUAGUAGUGGUGUCACAUGCUUGAACAAACGUAAUGAUAUGCGGUUGAGCAUGCAUAGUAAUACACAUAUGGAUGACAUAUAUGCACCAGAUAGUAACAAUUAUAGUCACACUAAAAAAUGCAAACAAAAUGUUAUGUAUAAUACUAGACCGAGUAAGCCAAACAAAAGUGUUAACACAUUUUUUGAAAUUACCAAACCAGUCAGAAGUAACAAUCAAUCAAUUUUAAACAAAAACAAUAUCGGAAAAUCAUUUGAAGGGUAUGUACAAUGUGUGAAAACAGAUGCUAUAUACAUUAAAAUAGUUGGUAUAAAUGGGUAUGGUGUACUCUAUAAAAACAAAGCUAACUUGGGUAAUGACAUAAAAGAUAUAAAUGAUUAUUUUAAAUUAAACCAAAAAGUAUGGGUCAAAAUAUUAGGUAUUAAUAUCAAAAAAAAAUAUUAUUAUGUUGGUAAUAUUAUUAAAUAUAAUAAAGAUAUAAUAUUAGAGAACGGUGAACAUUCAAAAGGAUUAGUAACAAAAGUAUGUGAUUCUUAUUGUUUUAUAAAAAUUUUAAAAAAUGGUAGUGUAGGGUAUUUACAUAGGUCUACAUUGCAAUUGUUUGGUUGUGUUAGUGACUCAAAUAGUGUUAUACCACUUGUGUCUGAGUCGAAAAACAAAGGUACCACUUAUACAAUAGUCGAUGGUGGUGAUGGUAGUGAUGGUAGUGAUGGUGGUGACAGUGGUGAUGGUGGUGAUGGUAGUGAUGGUAGUGAUGGUAGUGAUGGUGGUGAUGGUAGUGAUGGUGGUGAUGAUAAAAGGAUUCAAAUCGAACGCGAUAAAGUUAUAUUUUAUGAGAACACAACAAACAUGGUAGCAAAUAGUAAUAGAACAAAAAAUAUUAUUUUUACGAAAAUUUUUAAAAUUUGGGAUAUCAUAGAUGUACAAGUAGUUAAACGGUCAGACAACCAAUUCAAGUCUCAUUACAUUUUAACUAUACCUUACGAUACCAAAAGUUAUAAGCAG
Molecule: long non-coding RNA, 1405 nt
Filed under: Piliocolobus tephrosceles (Ugandan red Colobus)
Lineage: Eukaryota; Metazoa; Chordata; Mammalia; Primates; Cercopithecidae
Description: lncRNA (ENSPTEG00000013035.1)
Source: RNAcentral